UUCUCUCUAAGCCCCCUACAGUGCCAAG
This 28-nucleotide non-coding RNA is filed under the name Mus musculus (house mouse). The record is from RNAcentral. Lineage: Eukaryota; Metazoa; Chordata; Mammalia; Rodentia; Muridae.